GUCUGGUACCCCUACAGUCCACUCUGUUCUCUCACGUAGCUCAGGUCAUUCUCCUGGAACUGUCUGGUACCACUACAGUCUACUCUGUUCUCUCAUGUAGCUCAGGUCAUUCUCCUGUAACUGUCUGGUACCACUACAGUCCACUCUGUUCUCUCACGUAGCUCAGGUCAUUCUCCUGUAACUGUCUGGUACCCCUACAGUCCACUCUGUUCUCUCACGUAGCUCAGGUCAUUCUCCUGGAACUGUCUGGUACCCCUACAGUCUACUCUGUUCUCUCAUGUAGCUCAGGUCAUUCUCCUGGAACUGUCUGGUACCCCUACAGUCCACUCUGUUCUCUCACGUAGCUCAGGUCAUUCUCCUGGAACUGUCUGGUACCCCUACAGUCCACUCUGUUCUCUCACGUAGCUCAGGUCAUUCUCCUGUAACUGUCUGGUACCCCUACAGUCCACUCUGUUCUCU
This is a long non-coding RNA of Oncorhynchus tshawytscha (Chinook salmon), 459 nucleotides long. NCBI's taxonomy places the organism in Eukaryota, Metazoa, Chordata, Actinopteri, Salmoniformes, Salmonidae. The record is from Ensembl.